CGGUGCCCCGGCGCAGGGGAGCGGCCAGAUAUUUAUGGCCGCUUCCCCUCGGUUUGUUCUAGUGGGUGGUGUUGUGGUAGUAGCGUAGGGUAAUCGUAGCGGUAAAAGGAACCUCUCUUCAUCGGUCUUUGUCGUCGCGGUACCGGCCGUAGUACGUGUUCUAGCUCCUCUUCGAGGUGUACCCGCCGCCGUCGCUGCUCGUGUUCUUCCUGCUCCUCGUGUUCUUCCGCCUCCUCGUGUUCUUCUUCCUGCCCCUCGUGUUCUUCCUGCCGCUCGUGUUCCUCCCGUACUACCUCUUCUAGUUCCUGUUCUAGUCGCCGCUGCCGUUCUUCCUGCCGCUGGUGUUCCUCUUCUUCCUGUUCUUCUUCUUCUUCCUGUUCUUCGUGCCGCUCCCGGUGUUCCUGCUGCUGCCGGUGCCGUCGUCGUCGUCGCUGUCGCUGUCGCUGACUCGGUCGAGGCCGGGCGCGAGGCCGUCGCACGUCACAUCCGCUCUAGCUACUACUUGUGAACCCUCUUCACACUGUCUGUAUAUACAACGUCCCAAACCUCGCACACCAUCGUAUACAUACAUUACGCACUGUACGGAGUACCUAGAACACUACAUAUUAUUAAUCGGCCGGCGUGACGUGACUUGCCACGAACAUUAUUAUUGCAAUUAGUACAACCAUAACUACAUAGAGGUAACCAUUAAACCAUAGGGGUACAAAAG
Molecule: ribosomal RNA, 709 nt
Filed under: Triticum aestivum (bread wheat)
Lineage: Eukaryota; Viridiplantae; Streptophyta; Magnoliopsida; Poales; Poaceae
Description: partial small subunit ribosomal RNA
Source: RNAcentral